This 867-nucleotide long non-coding RNA is filed under the name Nicotiana tabacum (common tobacco). Its description in RNAcentral is "long non-coding RNA (NTAB_LNC010722)". The record is from RNAcentral. Lineage: Eukaryota; Viridiplantae; Streptophyta; Magnoliopsida; Solanales; Solanaceae.
CCAUCUCAUUUCCCCUAAAAAAAAUGGCUUCCUCAAAAAUAAUUUCCUCUCUAUUUUUCCUUUUAUAUAUUGCAAUUCUUGUACAAACAGUGAUUUCCACUGAUCCACUCUUCCAUUUUUGUUCAAAAUCUGGAAAUUUCACAGCCAAUAGUUACUAUGCAAAAAACUUGAAAAAUGUCUUAGGUGAUCUUUACUUAAAAACACCCCCAACAGGGUUCUCAACUAGCUCAGCCGGUCAAACUCCCGAUCAAACUUAUGGAUUUUCUCUAUGUCGCGGCGAUGUUUCAAGCACAAAUUGCAAGUCCUGUGUAGUAGAUGCAAGUGAAGAACUUGGUAAACUUUGUCCUUACGAUAAAGAAGCCAUAAUAUGGUACGAUAAUUGCCUUCUAAAAUACUCCUACAAUGAUUUUCUAGGAAAAAUUGAUAAUACGUACAAGUUUUACAUGUGGAAUGUUCGUGUUGUUAGUAAGCCAGAAUCUUUUAAUGCAAAGACUAAAGAAUUAUUGGGAAGUUUGGUUGAAAAGNGCUUAUAAAAAGCAGAAUUUAUAUGCAAAUGGAGAGAUGGAGUUAAUUGGAGAUCAGUAUGAGAAAUUGUAUGGAUUGGUUCAAUGCACAAGAGAUCUUUCUAGUGAAGACUGUAAACAAUGUCUUGAGGGUAUUAUUACUGAAAUUCCAAGUUGUUGUGAUGGAAAAGAAGGUGGAAGAGUUGUUGGAGGGAGCUGUAACUUUAGAUAUGAAAUUUAUCCUUUUGUUAAUACUCAGUAGAAGAUGUCACGAUUAAUCGACUCAUAUGGUUUGGAGCUUGAUUUUGUAAUUUAAUGAACGACUUGUAUUUCCUGUAAUUGUAGUGCUUCGCUCAAGUGUGUA